ACACGACUACAUUAGAUACCCGCGUAGUCCUAGCCGUAAACGAUACUCGCUAGGUGUCGGCCACGGUGCGACCGUUGUCGGUGCCGUAGGGAAGCCGUGAAGCGAGCCACCUGGGAAGUACGGCCGCAAGGCUGAAACUUAAAGGAAUUGGCGGGGGAGCACAACAACGGGUGGAGCUUGCGGUUUAAUUGGACUCAACGCCGGGAAGCUCACCGGAUAAGACAGCGGAAUGAUUGCCGGGCUGAAGACCCUGCAUGACCAGCUG
This 265-nucleotide ribosomal RNA is filed under the name uncultured archaeon. RNAcentral describes it as "partial 16S ribosomal RNA". It matches the Rfam family "Archaeal small subunit ribosomal RNA", at positions 717 to 982 of the family's 1478-position model. The record is from RNAcentral.